This 1385-nucleotide long non-coding RNA is filed under the name Felis catus (domestic cat). RNAcentral describes it as "lncRNA (ENSFCAG00000042144.2)". The record is from RNAcentral. Lineage: Eukaryota; Metazoa; Chordata; Mammalia; Carnivora; Felidae.
UUUAUAAAUAUUGUUUGGAUAUGACGCCAGACUCCAUGUUCAUUUCCUAGGUGAAGAACCCCAAACACUAGGAGACUAAAGAAGAAGAAGUUAUGAUCCAAAUCAAGUCUGAAAUUUCUUUCAACUGAUUGCUUUCCCUGCUAGUAACUCAAUAGGCAAUACUACUUCUUUCAAAAAUCAGUGAACGGAAGUGCUAUGAAGAAACAAAUUGGGAGAAAUCUUCAUUCUUUUCCCAGUUGUCCAAGCUUUCAUCAUUUUCAGCUUGCUGCCCUUCUGCAGUCCCAGUGGAAAAUCCACCAUGUUUACGAGGCCUCAAACUCUGACUUUCUGUCUCAUCCGCCUGGGAGACUGCUGGAGGUUCUGAUCGACGCCUGCCACCUGUGAAUUGCUGCAAUCGUUGGGAGAAUUUCCUGCCUGGGAGUCUGGAAACUGCCAAGAGUGAAAAGCCGCAGCCAGCCAGCGAGGCCUCUGUUGUCAUUGGCCCAAACAACAACAAAAACAGCCACAACCACCACCACCACCACAACAAAACACGCCACGUGUGCACAAGCACACACAAACACGCCCACAGAACCAACCAAACGGACAAGGCUUCAAGGAGAAGCUUCUGGGCUGCGCGUUCCGGCAGCGAGGCCUGUCCCUUGGCACGGGGCCAUGGCAGCCCAGUUCCCAGCCCCCCACCAUCUGUCAUCAGCACUCUGCCUACUGUCAAGAGACACAGAGAAUUAAUCAUGAACCCAGUUGCCUAGAGGAGAAAAUAAUCUAUUUGUGGCAGUCUGAAAAAGCAAGAAGUUAUACGAAACCACUGAAGCCACCAGAGGCAAGAAUGGCAUCUCCAGACUCCUGGGGGAAAGUUCAUUGAGUUGCUAGUUGAAGAAUCUGGGGACACCUGAAUAGUCUCCUCCACAUCUCUAUUUUACCAGCCUUGGGUCGUUUAAUCUCCUCCGCCUACCUCUACUGCUAUGUGUAAUAUUUUUCCUCAGCAACUGCAACCCUACUUGAUCAUUUUAAGAAAGGGAAUUCUUAAGUCCCUUUGUAGCUCAGAAAAGCGUGUUCUCUCAUAUACAUCUUUCCUUUUACUGCUAGGCUAUUAGUUCUGACUUCAACUGCUUCUUCUGAAUAGAUUCCCAACUGUUGUGUCCUGAAGGACUGUGUUGCCUUUCUCACUUACUCCUUCAUUAGAACUUUUCCUCUGUCUGCUCCUCUUCACACCUCUCUCAGCCUCUGAGAUAGUCAGCAGUUCAGAAUAUGGUUAGAUUAUAUUUGCCCAGACACUGAUACCUCAUGCUUGUCUUUGUGGAUAUUAGAAAGAUAAGGCAUUAGGAGUCAGAGACUUGGGUGUCAAUCCUGAUGUAAUCAUAAAUAAAGUGACUGAGUUUCAAGCA